This 253-nucleotide ribosomal RNA is filed under the name uncultured bacterium. RNAcentral describes it as "partial 16S ribosomal RNA". It matches the Rfam family "Bacterial small subunit ribosomal RNA", at positions 524 to 776 of the family's 1533-position model. The record is from RNAcentral.
UACGAAGGGGGCUAGCGUUGCUCGGAAUUACUGGGCGUAAAGCGCGCGUAGGCGGCUUUGCAAGUCGGGUGUGAAAUCCCCAGGCUUAACCUGGGAACUGCAUUCGAGACUGCAUUGCUAGAGUAUGGGAGAGGGAAGUGGAAUUUCCGGUGUAGCGGUGAAAUGCGUAGAUAUCGGAAGGAACAUCAGUGGCGAAAGCGACUUCCUGGACCAAUACUGACGCUCAUGUGCGAAAGCGUGGGGAGCAAACAGG